This is a long non-coding RNA of Cavia porcellus (domestic guinea pig), 794 nucleotides long. RefSeq lists it as uncharacterized. NCBI's taxonomy places the organism in Eukaryota, Metazoa, Chordata, Mammalia, Rodentia, Caviidae. The record is from RefSeq and is a predicted model, not a curated record. The transcript is spliced from 3 exons.
AAUGCAGCAGAAAACAUGGUCACUCUUAAGGUUUCAUCAUUGAGAUUACCAAGACGACAUCAGCAAGACAAGGGUCUCGCUAUGUAGUCCAGGCUGGCCAUGAAUUCACUAUGUAGCCCAGGCAGGCUCUGAAGUUACUGAGAUCCUCCUGCUUCAGCCUCCCAAGUGCUAGGACUACAGUUGUGGACCACCAUAUCUGACUGAUGUAUCAAGAAUGUCCAGGAAAUCUCAGGAGAAGCUUUAGGUACAUGGAUAUUGAGUGGAUAAAUAAACUGGAUCAUUUGAAGUUCUGAUGCCCUAACAUCAGGCAGCUAAAGUGAGAAAAAAAGCCACAUAUGUGAAAAUCACAAGGCCAACUCCCAUUCCCAAGAAGGGACUGAGGCGUGCUUUAAAAUACCAGAGACUUUUGCUCUUAAAGCUAGCCAAACCAACUAGAGCUACUGUACUAUAUUCAUUUAGAUUCUUUAGUGGGCAGCUGAUUCCCCAUGGCUAAUACUGUCCACAGCCAUGGAAGGAAACAAGUCAAAGAAAUGGAACUGCAAAUACACACGUAUACCUUGGCUACAGAUUUCUUAGCUUCUUAAAUCUGAAAUUGUCCUCAUGUCUGCCUCAUGACGAUUGCUCUUUAGACCAAACAUCCAUGACCGAUUCAAAGCAGUUGUCUGGGGUUUGGCUACUGCUUAGCAGGUACUUAUAAAGCAUUCUGUGACAUUAAUCAAGAUUCCAGCUAAAGAAGAUGCCACCAAGCUAAUUAAAGCCAUCUAGAAGACUGCGUAAAUAAGGAGGAAAAUGUA